RNAcentral lists this ribosomal RNA (238 nucleotides) under uncultured bacterium. Its description in RNAcentral is "partial 16S ribosomal RNA". It matches the Rfam family "Bacterial small subunit ribosomal RNA", at positions 96 to 334 of the family's 1533-position model. The record is from RNAcentral.
CGGCGGACGGGUGAGUAACGCGUGGGUAACCUGCCUCAUACAGGGGGAUAACAGUUGGAAACGGCUGCUAAUACCGCAUAAGCGCACAGUACCGCAUGGUACGGUGUGAAAAACUCCGGUGGUAUGAGAUGGACCCGCGUCUGAUUAGGUAGUUGGUGGGGUAACGACCUACCAAGCCGACGAUCAGUAGCCGACCUGAGAGGGUGACCGGCCACAUUGGGACUGAGACACGGCCCAA